Molecule: long non-coding RNA, 812 nt
Organism: Pelmatolapia mariae (spotted tilapia)
Lineage: Eukaryota; Metazoa; Chordata; Actinopteri; Cichliformes; Cichlidae
Exons: 5
Source: RefSeq, a predicted model, not a curated record
UCAGUCCAUACAAUGGGCGUUAUUAGCAGAAAUCAGUCCCAUCGAUAUGGUCCAUCCACCUGCUAGAUUGUUCAGAAGGUUGUUAUCAUCCAUCCAGAUGGAGGAUCACUGACAGGAGCGUGGAAGACUCCAGAAUCCACUCUGGCUGGAAUCCGGUGGAUACAGCAGUGUUACAGGUACAGUACGUGAUAUUAAGGGCAGGCGGUCAACACUGGGGGAAGACAAGAAGCAGACGUACUUCCAAGAGGGAGCUGCAGUGAGGACACAGCCUUGUCACUAAGGAGGCGCUGAAAGGUUUCCCUAAUAGUUCCUGGUGAAUCAAAGCAGAACCAUAAAGGUUGCUGGACUGCAUGAUGGCCUUACCCCUGAGCAGUCAUCCUGUUAAAGGAGGAACCAGUUAGAAGCUGUUUUCAAAGUAGCUGAGCAGAUUUCAUCUCAACAGACAAAGCCAAUGGCAGAAGAUGUUUGGAGAAGAACUUCAGGCCGUGUACUGACAAGAUCAAAGCAGCUCGUGCUCUUUCUGCUUCCAUUUUGAUGGCAAGAAGAAGAAGAAGACUUCAGCGAAGUGGCGUUCAUGGUCUCAGUGGACAGUCAUGGUCACAUACUGCAUGUGGUUUUAAAAGCAACAUGUCUGUUCACCACAACAAUCGAGAUGUGUAAUAUUAGUGCAGCUACAGUUUGUUCUUGAACAUCAGUUCUGUUUUCUACUUUGACCACUUAGACCAAAAAAGUGUUGUUUUCAGAUUCUUUCUUUUAAAUCUGUAAAGCACCUGCUCAUUUUUUAUUACAAUUAGUUUCACAUAAAUAGUAGU